Molecule: ribosomal RNA, 466 nt
Filed under: uncultured bacterium
Lineage: Bacteria
Description: partial 16S ribosomal RNA
Rfam family: Bacterial small subunit ribosomal RNA
Source: RNAcentral
GAUGAACGCUGGCGGCGUGCUUAACACAUGCAAGUCGAACGGAAAGGCCCAAGUUUGCUUGGGUCCUCGAGUGGCGAAAGGGUGAGUAACACGUGGGCGAUCUGCCCUGCAUUUCGGGAUAAGCCUGGGAAACUGGGACUAAUACCGGAUAGGACCACAUUUUGGAUGGUGUGGUGGAAAGUUUUUCGGUGUGGGAUGAGCUCGCGGCCUAUCAGCUUGUUGGUGGGGUAAUGGCCUACCAAGGCGUCGACGGGUAGCCGGCCUGAGAGGGUGUACGGCCAAAUUUGGGCUGGGGAACGGCCCAAGCUUCUACGGGGGGGAACAGGGGGGAAAUAUGCACAAAGGGCGCGAGGCUUGAGCAACGAAGCCGGGGGGGGGGUGACGGGCUUCGGGUUGGAAACUCGUUUCGCUAGGGACGAAACGUUAUGUGACGGUACCUGGAGAAGAAGCACCGGCUAACUACGUG